Molecule: regulatory RNA element, 43 nt
Organism: Klebsiella sp. RIT-PI-d
Lineage: Bacteria; Pseudomonadati; Pseudomonadota; Gammaproteobacteria; Enterobacterales; Enterobacteriaceae
Rfam family: nuoG RNA
Source: Rfam
GAAUUUCGAUUAACGCUUGGCCUUUGGCCGAGCCAACUGGAAG